AGUCGAACGCUUCUUUUUCCACCGGAGCUUGCUCCACCGGAAAAAGAGGAGUGGCGAACGGGUGAGUAACACGUGGGUAACCUGCCCAUCAGAAGGGGAUAACACUUGGAAACAGGUGCUAAUACCGUAUAACAAUCAAAACCGCAUGGUUUUGAUUUGAAAGGCGCUUUCGGGUGUCGCUGAUGGAUGGACCCGCGGUGCAUUAGCUAGUUGGUGAGGUAACGGCUCACCAAGGCCACGAUGCAUAGCCGACCUGAGAGGGUGAUCGGCCACAUUGGGACUGAGACACGGCCCAAACUCCUACGGGAGGCAGCAGUAGGGAAUCUUCGGCAAUGGACGAAAGUCUGACCGAGCAACGCCGCGUGAGUGAAGAAGGUUUUCGGACCGUAAAACUCUGUUGUUAGAGAAGAACAAGGAUGAGAGUAACUGUUCAUCCCUUGACGGUAUCUAACCAGAAAGCCACGGCUAACUACGUGCCAGCAGCCGCGGUAAUACGUAGGUGGCAAGCGUUGUCCGGAUUUAUUGGGCGUAAAGCGAGCGCAGGCGGUUUCUUAAGUCUGAUGUGAAAGCCCCCGGCUCAACCGGGGAGGGUCAUUGGAAACUGGGAGACUUGAGUGCAGAAGAGGAGAGUGGAAUUCCAUGUGUAGCGGUGAAAUGCGUA
This 661-nucleotide ribosomal RNA is filed under the name uncultured bacterium. Its description in RNAcentral is "bacterial SSU rRNA". It matches the Rfam family "Bacterial small subunit ribosomal RNA", at positions 60 to 692 of the family's 1533-position model. The record is from RNAcentral.